AUUUUAUAGUAAUCAUUUAUAUCCUGAUGUAUGAAUGUCUAAUCAACAUGUCAGGGCAUAAUCAAAAAGACUCAUCUUAGUAUUAAACGAUAGUUUAAUCAUAGGGUGGAAAAUAAUAUGUAUAAAAGUACUCAGUGAAGAUAUUAUUUUGAAUAGAGAAAUCUAAAGUCUAAACGGUUAUGGCACAUUUUUUAAAUGAAUAUUAGUGUAGUUUUGCUCUUGGGUGACGCAAUAGACGCUCUCAGUGAGAGAAUAACCCUAAAACCUAUAAUAAAUAGAGGUAUUUGUUAUAGUAAGUAGGGAAUACCUAAAUAAGUCAUUUUGCCGUGAAGUUAUGAAAAUAACUAUAACAAGAGAAGAAACUAUGAGUAGCCUAAUACGGCAGACAACAGAUUUAAAACAAAUAUUUAAAAACAAGUCUACUAAUAGGGGUUGUUUGUUUAAAAACAAGUUUUAAUUUAAUUCUGAAUGAUAGGUGAAAGUUAUAGGUGAUAUUCCUAUUAUGGCUUGGGUUUUUAUAAACCAGGGUAAGAACUUAAAGGGUCGCAGCUUUAGGUCAGACUUAUCUUCCAUAUCGCAUAAUAAAUUGCAGUUUAAAAAAUGUAGCUGAUAAAAAAGCAUGUUAAUGAUUACUAUAAA
This 639-nucleotide non-coding RNA is filed under the name unclassified sequences. RNAcentral describes it as "ROOL RNA". It matches the Rfam family "ROOL RNA". Rfam says of the family: Firmicutes, Fusobacteria (1 example), Tenericutes (1 example). The record is from Rfam by way of RNAcentral.